RNAcentral lists this ribosomal RNA (478 nucleotides) under uncultured bacterium. Its description in RNAcentral is "partial 16S ribosomal RNA". It matches the Rfam family "Bacterial small subunit ribosomal RNA", at positions 28 to 523 of the family's 1533-position model. The record is from RNAcentral.
GAUUAACGCUGGCGGCGUGCCUAGUACAUGCAAGUCGACCGGGGAAAGUAGCAAUACGAGUACUAGUGGCGCACGGGUGAGGAAUACAUGGGUAAUCUGCCCUCGAGUUUGGGAUAACCAGUCGAAAGAUUGGCUAAUACCGGAUAUGACCACAGGAUCUGCGGAUCUAGGGGUAAAAGGUUUUUCGCUCGAGGAUGAGCCCAUGUGGGAUUAGCUAGUUGGUGAGGUAACGGCUCACCAAGGCGACGAUCCCUAACUGGUCUUAAAGGAUGAUCAGUCACACUGGAACUGAGACACGGUCCAGACUCCUACGGGAGGCAGCAGUAGGGAAUAUUGCACAAUGGAGGAAACUCUGAUGCAGCGACGCCGCGUGAGUGAUGAAGGCCUUCGGGUCGUAAAGCUCUGUCGUAUGGGACUAACACAAUGAAGGUACCAUGCAAGAAAGGAUCGGCUAACUUCGUGCCAGCAGCCGCGGUAA